Molecule: ribosomal RNA, 831 nt
Filed under: Triticum aestivum (bread wheat)
Lineage: Eukaryota; Viridiplantae; Streptophyta; Magnoliopsida; Poales; Poaceae
Description: partial small subunit ribosomal RNA
Source: RNAcentral
AUGGCUGCCUCCACUGUUUCCUCCUGGGUUCCACCUUCUCUUCCCGAGUCCAGCGCCGCCGCCGCCUCAGGCUCAGGCCUGGUCCUCCUUGACAGGUGGUGCUACAUCGCCGACCUUCCCAACAACACCACCGCCGAGGGCACCACCAGCAGCGGCUUGCCUAUCAAGGUGACCCUCCGCGCCGCCCGCCCGCCACAUCUCUCCCACUUUUGUGUCCACUGCCCUGGCCUGGAAUUCCGCAGAACAGCGCCCAAGAUUGUCGCCACCGACGCACAUCUCGUCCUCCUCUGCGUUCCCAUCCACCCCAACAGCACCACCGGAGCAUCGGACUGGGACUACUUCGUCUACAGCCCGCGCGCCCAGCGGCUAGAUCUGCUACCCAACCCGGACCCCAUAUGGCUCGACGACCCCGCAACUGCCCUCAUUAGCCGCCAAGACGGCGCUUGCUAUGUCGUCGCUGCGCUCGGCAACGGUAACUCCCUGUACGACGGCAACGCGCUCAUUAGGUGUGAGUUCCACCUCCACCUCUACAGAUCAUCAUCAAAUUCUAAAGCUUGGAUCUCCAAGCGCUUGUCACUGAAUAAGUUCAAGAGGGACAAGCUCAUCCCUUUACCUGCAGCAGUCGAGAGGCUGUACCACGAGACGGGGAAGACAAUCACAAUUGGUGGUGAGCAUGGCACGGUCGCCUGGGUGGACCUCUGGCGUGGCAUCUUCUUUUGCGACGUGCUCAAGAAACGCCCACGGCUCCGGGAUGUUCCACUGCCGGUGCCGGCAAGGUCUAACUGGAUUGCCUCCUCAGAAAUGGUGACCCCGGCUAUUUCCGGGACGUAA